This 221-nucleotide ribosomal RNA is filed under the name uncultured bacterium. Its description in RNAcentral is "partial 16S ribosomal RNA". It matches the Rfam family "Bacterial small subunit ribosomal RNA", at positions 57 to 305 of the family's 1533-position model. The record is from RNAcentral.
GCAAGUCGAACGAAACCUUUCGGGGUUUAGUGGCGGACGGGUGAGUAACGCGUGGGAAUCUGCCCUCAGGAGGGGGAUAACGGCUGGAAACGGCCGCUAAUACCCCAUAUGCCGAGAGGUGAAAUGAAUUUCGCCUGAGGAUGAGCCCGCGUCUGAUUAGCUAGUUGGUGGGGUAAAGGCCUACCAAGGCGACGAUCAGUAGCUGGUCUGAGAGGAUGAUC